CAGCAGCCGCGGGAAUACGUAGGUGGCAAGCGUUGUCCGGAAUUAUUGGGCGUAAAGGGCUCGCAGGCGGUUUCUUAAGUCUGAUGUGAAAGCCCCCGGCUCAACCGGGGAGGGUCAUUGGAAACUGGGAAACUUGAGUGCAGAAGAGGAGAGUGGAAUUCCACGUGUAGCGGUGGAAUGCGUAGAGAUGUGGAGGAACACCAGUGGCGAAGGCGACUCUCUGGUCUGUAACUGACGCUGAGGAGCGAAAGCGUGGGGAGCGAACAGGAUUAGAGACCCCCGUAGUCCCUGUCUCUUAUAC
RNAcentral lists this ribosomal RNA (301 nucleotides) under uncultured bacterium. Its description in RNAcentral is "partial 16S ribosomal RNA". It matches the Rfam family "Bacterial small subunit ribosomal RNA", at positions 509 to 807 of the family's 1533-position model. The record is from RNAcentral.